Molecule: long non-coding RNA, 290 nt
Organism: Mauremys reevesii (Reeves's turtle)
Lineage: Eukaryota; Metazoa; Chordata; Testudines; Geoemydidae
Exons: 3
Source: RefSeq, a predicted model, not a curated record
ACCAGGUGUACUUUGAGUGAACUCAGGGACCGACUGGCCUGACCUCUUGAGGUCAACACACACCAUGGGAAGGGUAGAAGAUGCCAGGCAGCACUUCCUGUACCGCCAUGGAGCAGCCGCAUUGUGUGUGUUGGUACCAUGAAGAAGCCAAGCCUUGAGCUAGGAUAUCUGCAUGUUGGGAUGGAGAAUGUAUCCUUCGUUCUGUGAGAGGAGAUAAGGAGUGGGUUGAAGAGAGACUGGUGGACACACUGCAAGCUGUGACAGGACUUUCAACAGCAGAGGGAAUGGAG